This 343-nucleotide long non-coding RNA is filed under the name Ananas comosus (pineapple). RNAcentral describes it as "long non-coding RNA (ACOM_LNC015741)". The record is from RNAcentral. Lineage: Eukaryota; Viridiplantae; Streptophyta; Magnoliopsida; Poales; Bromeliaceae.
CUUUCCGUCCCUAAAUUAGCUGGGGACCAUGUGUUAAAUAAAAACUAGUUAUUUCAGAAAUAGAGUUAAAUUCAAGAUUAUGUUUGAAUGAUAAUUGAGUUUUCGAAUUAAAAUUAAUAGCGUUUGGAUAGAUAAAAAUGAAAUUAGAAGAAUAGCAGGUAGUUAUAAAUAGAAAGUAAUAAUAUUAUUUCAAUUAUUAUAUUUGAAUUUAAAAAUUUUUAUUUUAUAUUUAAAAUUUCAAAUUUAAAUAGAUAACUUUUAAAAUAGAAAAAUUUAAGAUUAAAAUAUAAAAUUUUAAAUUUCAAAUUUAAAAAUUUAAAUUUUAAAUCAAAUCAAAAUUUAC